UAAAGAGGACUGUAAAUAUUGGUC
RNAcentral lists this non-coding RNA (24 nucleotides) under Cricetulus griseus (Chinese hamster). The record is from RNAcentral. Lineage: Eukaryota; Metazoa; Chordata; Mammalia; Rodentia; Cricetidae.